GAGUAGCAAUACUUAGUGGCAGACGGGUGAGUAACAUGUAGGUAUCUUCCCUUUGGUGAGGAAUAACACGAGGAAACUUGUGCUAAUACCUCAUAAGUCUUUACGGAGAAAGCUUUAUGCGCCAAUGGAUGAGCCUGCACUUGAUUAGUUUGUUGGUGGGGUAAUGGCCUACCAAGACUUUGAUCAAUAGCUGAUUUGAGAGGAUGAUCAGCCACAUUGGGACUGAGACACGGCCCAAACUCCUACGGGAGGCAGCAGUAGGGAAUCUUGCACAAUGGAGGAAACUCUGAUGCAGCGAUGCCGCGUGAGUGAAGAAGGCCUUUGGGUUGUAAAGCUCUUUCGUCGGGGAAGAAAAUGACUGUACCCGAAUAAGAAGGUCCGGCUAACUUCGUGCCAGCAGCCGCGGUAAUACGAAGGGACCUAGCGUAGUUCGGAAUUACUGGGCUUAAAGAGUUCGUAGGUGGUUAAAAAAGUUGGUGGUGAAAUCCCAGAGCUUAACUCUGGAACUGCCAUCAAAACUUUUUAGCUAGAGUAUGAUAGAGGAAAGCAGAAUUUCUAGUGUAGAGGUGAAAUUCGUAGAUAUUAGAAAGAAUACCAAUUGCGAAGGCAGCUUUCUGGAUCAUUACUGACACUGAGGAACGAAAGCAUGGGUAGCGAAGAGGAUUAGAUACCCUCGUAGUCCAUGCCGUAAACGAUGUGUGUUAGACGUUGGAAAUUUAUUUUCAGUGUCGCAGCGAAAGCAAUAAACACACCGCCUGGGGAGUACGACCGCAAGGUUAAAACUCAAAUGAAUUGACGGGGACCCGCACAAGUAGUGG
This 818-nucleotide ribosomal RNA is filed under the name uncultured marine bacterium. Its description in RNAcentral is "bacterial SSU rRNA". It matches the Rfam family "Bacterial small subunit ribosomal RNA", at positions 74 to 935 of the family's 1533-position model. The record is from RNAcentral.